CAGUAGCCACGGGAAUACAGAGGGUGCGAGCGUUAAUCGGAUUUACUGGGCGUAAAGCGUGCGUAGGCGGCUUUUUAAGUCGGAUGUGAAAUCCCUGAUCUUAACUUAGGAAUUGCAUUCGAUACUGGGAAGCUAGAGUAUGGGAGAGGAUGGUAGAAUUCCAGGUGUAGCGGUGAAAUGCGUAGAGAUCUGGAGGAAUACCGAUGGCGAAGGCAGCCAUCUGGCCUAAUACUGACGCUGAGGUACGAAAGCAUGGGGAGCAAACAGGAUUAGAUACCCGUGUAGUCCCUGUCUCUUAUAC
This 301-nucleotide ribosomal RNA is filed under the name uncultured bacterium. RNAcentral's name for it is "partial 16S ribosomal RNA". It matches the Rfam family "Bacterial small subunit ribosomal RNA", at positions 509 to 807 of the family's 1533-position model. The record is from RNAcentral.